Molecule: ribosomal RNA, 511 nt
Filed under: uncultured bacterium
Lineage: Bacteria
Description: bacterial SSU rRNA
Rfam family: Bacterial small subunit ribosomal RNA
Source: RNAcentral
AUUGAACGCUGGCGGCAGGCCUAACACAUGCAAGUCGAGCGGCAGCGGGAAAGUAGCUUGCUACUUUUGCCGGCGAGCGGCGGACGGGUGAGUAAUGCCUGGGGAUCUGCCCUAUAGAGGGGGAUAACUACGGGAAACUGUAGCUAAUACCGCAUAAUGUCUACGGACCAAAGUGGGGGCUCUUCGGACCUCAUGCUAUCGGAUGAACCCAGGUGGGACUAGCUAGUUGGUGAGGUAAUGGCUCACCAAGGCGACGAUCUCUAACUGGUUUGGGAGAAUGAGCAGUCACACUGGAACUGAGACACGGUCCAGACUCCUACGGGAGGCAGCAGUGGGGAAUAUUGCACAAUGGGCGCAAGCCUGAUGCAGCCAUGCCGCGUGUGUGAAGAAGGCCUUCGGGUUGUAAAGCACUUUCAGCGGGGAGGAAGGGUCACUAGUUAAUACCUAGUGGCAUUGACGUUACUCGCAGAAGAAGCACCGGCUAACUCCGUGCCAGCCGCCGCUGUAACAC